UGGGGAAUAUUGCACAAUGGGCGCAAGCCUGAUGCAGCCAUGCCGCGUGUGUGAAGAAGGCCUUCGGGUUGUAAAGCACUUUCAGCGGGGAGGAAGGCGGUGAGGUUAAUAACCCAAUCGAUUGACGUUACCCGCAGAAGAAGCACCGGCUAACUCCGUGCCAGCAGCCGCGGUAAUACGGAGGGUGCAAGCGUUAAUCGGAAUUACUGGGCGUAAAGCGCACGCAGGCGGUCUGUCAAGUCGGAUGUGAAAUCCCCGGGCUCAACCUGGGAACUGCAUUCGAAACUGGCAGGCUAGAGUCUUGUAGAGGGGGGUAGAAUUCCAGGUGUAUCGGUGAAAUGCGUAGAGAUCUGGAGGAAUACCGGUGGCGAAGGCGGCCCCCUGGACAAAGACUGACGCUCAGGUGCGAAAGCGUGGGGAGCAAACAGG
Molecule: ribosomal RNA, 429 nt
Filed under: Chloroflexota bacterium
Lineage: Bacteria; Bacillati; Chloroflexota
Description: Chloroflexi bacterium partial 16S ribosomal RNA
Rfam family: Bacterial small subunit ribosomal RNA
Source: RNAcentral